This 497-nucleotide ribosomal RNA is filed under the name uncultured bacterium. RNAcentral's name for it is "partial 16S ribosomal RNA". It matches the Rfam family "Bacterial small subunit ribosomal RNA", at positions 28 to 507 of the family's 1533-position model. The record is from RNAcentral.
GAUGAACGCUGGCGGCGUGCCUAAUACAUGCAAGUCGAGCGAACGGACGAGAAGCUUGCUUCUCUGAUGUUAGCGGCGGACGGGUGAGUAACACGUGGAUAACCUACCUAUAAGACUGGGAUAACUUCGGGAAACCGUAGCUAAUACCGGAUAAUAUUUUGAACCGCAUGGUUCAAAAGUAAAAAACGGUCUUUCUGUCACUUAUAUGUUGAUCCGCGUUGCAUUAGCUAGUUGGUAAGAUAACGGCCUACCAAGGCAACGAUGCAUCGCCGCCCUGAGAGGGUGACCGGCAACAUUGGAACUGGACACGGCCCAAAACUCUUAGGGGAGGAGCAAGAAGGGAACUUUGGGCAAUGGCGGAAGGCCUGACGGGGCAACGCGGCGUGGGGGAUGAAGGUCUUCGGUCGGUAAAACUCGGUGAUUAGGGAAGAAGAUAUGGGGAAGGGAAUGCGCACAAAUUGACGGUACCUACCCAGAAAGCGACGGCUAACUACGUG